Molecule: ribosomal RNA, 504 nt
Filed under: uncultured bacterium
Lineage: Bacteria
Description: partial 16S ribosomal RNA
Rfam family: Bacterial small subunit ribosomal RNA
Source: RNAcentral
GAUGAACGCUAGCGGCAGGCUUAAUACAUGCAAGUCGAGGGGUAGCAAGAUUGUAGCAAUACAAUUGUUGACGACCGGCAAACGGGUGCGGAACACGUACACAACCUUCCUACAAGUGGGGAAUAGCCCAGAGCAAUUUGGAUUAAUACCCCGCAACAUAGCGAUGUGGCAUCACAUUGCUAUUAUAGCUUCGGCGCUUGUUGAUGGGUGUGCGGCUGGUUAGCUAGUUGGCGGGGUAACGGCCCACCAAGUCUACGAUCAGUAGCUGAUGUAAGGGCAUGAUCAGCAACACAGGCACUGAGACACGGGCGCGACUCCUACGGGAGGCAGAAGUAAGGAAUAUUGGACAAUGGACGCAAGUCUGAUCCAGCCAUGCCGCGUGAAGGAUUAAGGUCCUCUGGAUUGUAAUCUUCUUUUAUAAGGGACGAAAAAAGGUCUUUCUAGAUCGUCUGACGGUACCUUAUGAAUAAGCACCGGCUAACUCCGUGCCAGCCGCCGCCGUAA